AUCCAACUGAUGAGUCCCAAACAGGACGAAAUGCGCGUCCUGGAU
Molecule: non-coding RNA, 45 nt
Filed under: Schistosoma margrebowiei
Lineage: Eukaryota; Metazoa; Platyhelminthes; Trematoda; Strigeidida; Schistosomatidae
Source: RNAcentral